This 395-nucleotide long non-coding RNA is filed under the name Trifolium pratense (red clover). Its description in RNAcentral is "long non-coding RNA (TPRA_LNC013602)". The record is from RNAcentral. Lineage: Eukaryota; Viridiplantae; Streptophyta; Magnoliopsida; Fabales; Fabaceae.
UUAGAUAGAUAUGGAUAGCGUUUUUUUAGUUUUGGUCAUCUAGGGAUGGCAUCUUGUAUCUCAAAUUCUCUAUCAUUCCAAAGAUGGAAGACAAGCCCAUAUUGCUUAUUUGGUUGGAACAUAGGAAGAAAGAGAGUUGAUGAUAAACCUCAGAUUAAUUACCAUGAUAUUGAUCUCACUUUCUCAACUUCUUUGGUUAACAAAACAUUUUUGAAAGGUAAUGUUUCUCUUUUCAAGUUUUUAACCUCAGAUUAAAUACCAUGAUAUUGUUAUUAUUUCAUGUUAUCAUCUUAGACUUAACAUGUCUAUCCAUGGGUGGAGCCAAGGCCCAACAAGCCUGGGCAGUUGCUCGGGCUCUGGCCAAAAUUUUGGUAUUUUUAGGGUUAAUUUAGGGC